This 693-nucleotide unclassified non-coding RNA is filed under the name Hevea brasiliensis (rubber tree). Lineage: Eukaryota; Viridiplantae; Streptophyta; Magnoliopsida; Malpighiales; Euphorbiaceae. The record is from RNAcentral.
UAUCGCUCGCUGACGUACUAAUUAACACGCUUCUAACGGAUGUGACAGCCAAUCAGACUCUUUUAAAGCCGCCCAGGACCAGGAACUGGGCGCCACGGGAACCCAGUGGCAUUAGCGUAAUUUUAAGGCUUAACAGUGGCAUUUACGGAUCAUGCUCCUCACUUUGCCUCUCUAUACUCUAUAGAACCCUCUUUCCAUUCCUAAGCGAUUCUCUUCUAUUUGUCGCCGCCGCCAUGGCCGGGCUGAGCAGACUUGGAGUAGCCACAGCCACGCCAGCACUCCGCGGCCUUGGAUAUCUUGCUACCUCCCGUGCCUACGGAUCGGCUGCUGCGGUUCAAUACGACUACGAUUACGAAUUCGACAACCAGUACUAUUCGGGGGCAGAAGGAAGCAGAAAUCUGCUCCGGGAUUCGCGGCUUCCGGAGCCAAGGCUAGACUCGGCAGCGGCGUCGGACUGGGGAAGAGGAGUGCAAUGGGUGUUGAUAGGGGACCCGGCAGCUCAAAAGCACGUGUACGCUGAAAAGCUUUCGAAGCUUCUACAAGUUCCUCACAUUUCCAUGGGUACCCUCCUUCGGCAAGAGCUUAACCCUAGCUCUUCUCUCUACAAACAGAUUGCAAAUGCUGUGAAUGGAGGCAAUCUGGUACCAGAAGAAAUAAUUUUUGGGUUGCUGUCCAAGAGGCUUGAAGAAGGUU